This is a long non-coding RNA of Eubalaena glacialis (North Atlantic right whale), 1105 nucleotides long. RefSeq lists it as uncharacterized. The record is from RefSeq and is a predicted model, not a curated record. NCBI's taxonomy places the organism in Eukaryota, Metazoa, Chordata, Mammalia, Artiodactyla, Balaenidae. The transcript is spliced from 5 exons.
UGCUCACCACACAUCCUGGCCACCAAGACUCGCAGUCCAAGUUACAGCAUUGAUGGCUGGGCCGUUACGUGAAUGAAGGAAAGAUCUCGGGCUCUGGAGCCACACCGACCUGGCUCACAUACGGGUUCUACCCUGACGACCCUCAUCUCUCUAGGCCUCAGAAACCUCUGCUGGAAAUGGGCCAACAAUGACCUCAAGGAGCUACGACGUCCAGUGCCUGGCUGGGCAGAGAGCAGUCCAAACAUGAUUAUGUAGGGUUCUUCACAAGUAAACAAGACACAGUUCCAGCCAGCGGAUGUAAAAGAUUUACAACAAACAGGAACCAGCAACCGCACCCAGCAGAGCCCAGGACCUGAGCUGAGCAUGUCCACUAGAAGACAAUCCGGCCACCAGAGGUUAAAGAGAUCUCAAUCGUCCCACUGCUCCAGAGAAAGAGAAACAGAUCAUCCCAUAUUCAGCAAUCUGGAAUCUUAGCUGUUUCAUGGAAGUUCAAGAAAUCUUAAAGCUUCCAGCUAGACAACGGAUGCCAACCCAGGUCACACCCUGACACAGCACCUGGGCUCCAUCCCCGACUUCAAAUGAUCUACAUAUUGCCACCGGUACAGCGGACUAAAGACCGCGAUUGUGUUUGCCCCAUCCCGCCUGAGGAGGAACCAGCAAGUUUCCACGCCUGAGUGGACACGCAGCCUCAGCUGGCACCGCCACACGUACCAAGGGAAGCAUGUCUAGCACUGAACGGGGAGGAGCCUUUCUCUCGUCCCCUUAGCUGGAUGCGGACAAUGCACUCACCUCAUUGAACACACCACGCUAUCUCACACCACUCCGCCUUUGUAUAUCACGUUGCCUUUGCCUAAAAUGCUCCUCCCUUUCUUAUUCAUCUGUAAAGUCUAUUCAUGAGAAGGGUGGUUGCACCAACACUUCUCUGAAGCCUUCCCUUCUCUUCUGCAAUCCUCAGUCUCUCUGCUCUACUACUUCUCUAGUUUGCUGUGAUCGUUUGUAUUGCUCUUCUGUCUCCCUCAUCCAUCUAGAAGCUCCUCCAGGACUGGACCUCUGUCUUCCUCAUCUUGUUUUUAAUCUCCAGCACUCAGCAAAAUAUUUGGCGUGU